GAAAUGCGAUAAGUAGUGUGAAUUGCAGAAUUCAGUGAAUCAUCGAAUCUUUGAACGCACAUUGCGCCCCUCGGUAUUCCGUGGGGCAUGCCUGUUCGAGCGUCAUCUACACCCUCAAGCUCUGCUUGGUGUUGGGCGUCUGUCCCGCCUCCUUCGCGCGCGGACUCGCCCCAAAUCCAUUGGCGGCGGCCCUUGCCUCCCUCUCGCGCAGCACAUUGCGCUUCUCGAGGCGCGGCGGACCGCGUCUAGCAAGCAACCGUCACACCGUCUUUGACCUCGGAUCAGGUAGGGAUACCCGCUGAACUUAAGC
This 310-nucleotide unclassified non-coding RNA is filed under the name plant metagenome. RNAcentral describes it as "partial contains 5.8S ribosomal RNA, internal transcribed spacer 2, and large subunit ribosomal RNA". The stretch from base 1 to 105 matches the Rfam family "5.8S ribosomal RNA", at positions 50 to 154 of the family's 154-position model. The record is from RNAcentral.